UACCCAAUGUGCCUAUUCGUGAAAGAUUUAUCGCCUCUAGAUGAGCUCGCGUCUGAUUAGCUAGUAGGUGUGGUAAGAGCGCACCUAGGCGACGAUCAGUAGCUGGUCUGAGAGGAUGAUCAGCCACACUGGGACUGAGACACGGCCCAGACUCCUACGGGAGGCAGCAGUGGGGAAUUUUCCGCAAUGGGCGAAAGCCUGACGGAGCAAGACCGCGUGAGGGAAGAAGGCUCUUGGGUCGUAAACCUCUUUUGUCAGGGAAGAACACAAUGACGGUACCUGACGAAUCAGCCUCGGCUAACUCCGUGCCAGCAGCCGCGGUAAUACGGAGGAGGCAAGCGUUAUCCGGAAUUAUUGGGCGUAAAGCGUCCGUAGAUGGUCGCUUCAAGUCUGCUGUCAAAGACCGGGGCUUAACCCCAGAAAGGCAGUGGAAACUGAACAGCUAGAGAGAGGUAGGGGUAGAGGGAAUUCCCAGUGUAGCGGUGAAAUGCGUAGAGAUUGGGAAGAACAUCAGUGGCGAAAGCGCUCUACUGGACCUUAUCUGACAUUGAGGGACGAAAGCUAGGGGAGCGAAUGGGAUUAGAUACCCCAGUAGUCCUAGC
This 602-nucleotide ribosomal RNA is filed under the name uncultured cyanobacterium. RNAcentral describes it as "bacterial SSU rRNA". It matches the Rfam family "Bacterial small subunit ribosomal RNA", at positions 167 to 800 of the family's 1533-position model. Lineage: Bacteria; Bacillati; Cyanobacteriota. The record is from RNAcentral.